AGUCGAGCGAGAAAGGGGCUUCGGCUCCGAGUAAAGCGGCGGACGGGUGCGUAACACGUGGAUAAUCUGCCUCGUGGCGGGGGACAACAGUCCGAAAGGACUGCUAAUACCGCAUGUCAGGUCGGAAACUCCGGUUUCUGACGAAAAAGAGGGCGUCCGCAAGGAGCUCUCACCACGAGAUGAGUCCGCGUCCCAUCAGCUAGUUGGCGGUGUAAUGGACCACCAAGGCUUAGACGGGUAGCUGGUCUGAGAGGAUGACCAGCCACACUGGGACUGAGACACGGCCCAGACUCCUACGGGAGGCAGCAGUGGGGAAUAUUGGACAAUGGGCGAAAGCCUGAUCCAGCCAUGCCGCGUGAGUGAUGAAGGCCUCGGUCGUAAGCUCUGUGGGGAGGGACGGAAAAGGACGUGACCUAAUACGUCUCGCCUUCGACGGUACCGUCCUUACGUCAA
Molecule: ribosomal RNA, 453 nt
Filed under: uncultured bacterium
Lineage: Bacteria
Description: bacterial SSU rRNA
Rfam family: Bacterial small subunit ribosomal RNA
Source: RNAcentral